CCUACGGGAGGCAGCAGUGAGGAAUAUUGGUCAAUGGACGCAAGUCUGAACCAGCCAUGCCGCGUGCAGGAAGACGGCUUUCGGGUUGUAAACUUCUUUUAAGGGGGAAGAGGAGAAGACGGUACCCCUUGAAUAAGCCACGGCUAACUACGUGCCAGCAGCCGCGGUAAUACGUAGGUGGCAAGCGUUGUCCGGAUUUACUGGGUGUAAAGGGCGUGCAGCCGGGCUGACAAGUCAGAUGUGAAAUCCGCGGGCUUAACCCGCGAACUGCAUUUGAAACUAUUGGACUUGAGUGCCGGAGAGGUAAUCGGAAUUCCUUGUGUAGCGGUGAAAUGCGUAGAUAUAAGGAAGAACACCAGUGGCGAAGGCGAAUUACUGGACGGUAACUGACGGUGAGGCGCGAAAGCGUGGGGAGCAAACAGGAUUAGAUACCCGUGUAGUC
RNAcentral lists this ribosomal RNA (442 nucleotides) under uncultured bacterium. RNAcentral's name for it is "partial 16S ribosomal RNA". It matches the Rfam family "Bacterial small subunit ribosomal RNA", at positions 338 to 795 of the family's 1533-position model. The record is from RNAcentral.